AACGAACGCUGGCGGCAUGCCUAACACAUGCAAGUCGAACGAUUGCCUUCGGGUGAUAGUGGCGCACGGGUGCGUAACGCGUGGGAAUCUGCCCUUAGGUUCGGAAUAACAGCUGGAAACGGCUGCUAAUACCGGAUGAUAUCGCGAGAUCAAAGAUUUAUCGCCUGAGGAUGAGCCCGCGUUGGAUUACGUAGUUGGUGGGGUAAAGGCCUACCAAGCCGACGAUCCAUAGCUGGUCUGAGAGGAUGAUCAGCCACGCUGGGACUGAGACACGGCCCAGACUCCUACGGGAGGCAGCAGUGGGGAAUAUUGGACAAUGGGCGCAAGCCUGAUCCAGCAAUGCCGCGUGAGUGAUGAAGGCCCUAGGGUUGUAAAGCUCUUUUACCCGGGAAGAUAAUGACUGUACCGGGAGAAUAAGCCCCGGCUAACUCCGUG
Molecule: ribosomal RNA, 435 nt
Filed under: uncultured bacterium
Lineage: Bacteria
Description: partial 16S ribosomal RNA
Rfam family: Bacterial small subunit ribosomal RNA
Source: RNAcentral